GCACCGCCGGCACCGAUAGGGUGAUGACCAACUCAAAGCCCGACGCACGUUCAGUGUUGGGCUACGCUGCCGCCAUUGUAAUGUCGGUCGGGGAUGAUGUCUGAGGCCUCUUGGGGGGCCGCGAAGGUCCGACCUUGGGUGCCGGUCUCUUCCUCAUCGCAUGUUGCCGAAUGUCGGCAUCUGUCAGUCUCACUCUCGGCGGCAUGCCUGCAAUUUCAAUGAA
RNAcentral lists this long non-coding RNA (223 nucleotides) under Elaeis guineensis (African oil palm). RNAcentral describes it as "long non-coding RNA (EGUI_LNC034640)". The record is from RNAcentral. Lineage: Eukaryota; Viridiplantae; Streptophyta; Magnoliopsida; Arecales; Arecaceae.